GUCCUCUAUUCUAGUCGUCUCCUCCAUCCUCCAGCCGCCACUGGCGUUUGUGCUUCCCCGACGCCGCUCCCUCCCCAUCGCUCUCUCUCUCUUGCUCUCUGCUAUCUCUCGGCCGCCCGCCAGCAACAGAGCAGAGUAGCAUGCCACCGCCGCAAAAUUCAUGGAGCUCGACCUCAAAUCGGAUGAGCCCAAGCCACGAGAGGUGAGGAGGGAGGUAGCAGAAACUUCCCCGAGCUUUCCCCGCCGGAUUCCCAUCAAAUCCCUGCCGGAUCAGGUGUGCCGACGCGUCUCUUUCCCAUCUCUGGCCGGUGAGCCCCCGCAUGCAUCGCACCAGUCGGCCGAGCUCCAACUUCCAACCGCGCUCUCGCCGUGGACCAGCGGCUGCUACUCCUCAUCCUCCUUGCGGCAGCCUCGUGCGUCAACGUCGCCGUGACCGAAGCGCCGUGCCCUGUCACGUCCUCUGCCUUCUCCAUGUGGGCUCUCGCCUCCGCCGCGCUCGCUGUGCUCCCGCGCCGCGGUGCCGAGUGAAGAGGUUGUGUUUGGCUGCCGUCAGCGUCCACGCCCUGCAAUCGAUGAGAUGAUGGCGUGGCCGUGGCGGCAGCCGGCAUUCGAUCUCUUCAAAAUCACACUAUCCAGUUUCCACAUGCAUUUACUUUUUCCUUUAGUUUAUUCGGAAGCUCAAAAGGACUCCGCCAACCAUCUCACUAUUGUGAUCAAAAUAUACAAUAAAAGAAAUUUUUAUUGCCUGAA
Long non-coding RNA from Phragmites australis (common reed), 750 nucleotides. RefSeq lists it as uncharacterized. Lineage: Eukaryota; Viridiplantae; Streptophyta; Magnoliopsida; Poales; Poaceae. The transcript is spliced from 2 exons. The record is from RefSeq and is a predicted model, not a curated record.